This 331-nucleotide ribosomal RNA is filed under the name Gymnomeniidae sp. 2-SB FSB-2019. RNAcentral's name for it is "partial large subunit ribosomal RNA". The record is from RNAcentral. Lineage: Eukaryota; Metazoa; Mollusca; Solenogastres; Pholidoskepia; Gymnomeniidae.
GGAGUAAUUUUAAACGGCCGSGGAAUUUUAACCGUGCUAAGGUAGCAUAAUCAUUUGUCUUUUAAUUAAAGACUUGUAUGAAUGGUUUAAUGAAAUAAAGCUAUCUCUAAAAUAUUAAAUAAAAAUUAUUUUUAAAGUGAAAAAUCUUUAAUAAAAUAAAAAGACAAAAAGACCCUAUAGAGUUUAAUUUAUCUGUAUAGACACAUAUAUAUAUAAAUUUAGUUGGGGCAACUAAUGAAAAAAAAAAUUUCUUUUUAAAAAAAAAAAUAAAAUCAUUAAUUUAAUACUAUAAAACAAAUUACCUUAGGGGUAACAGCGUAAUUUUUUUUAA